AUGCUCACUAUGGCAGCAUAUAUACUAAAAUUGGAAUGACACAGAGAUCAGCAUGAGCCCUGUGCAAGGAUGACAUGCAAAUGCAUGAAGCAUGCCAUGAAAAA
This is a small nuclear RNA of Callithrix jacchus (white-tufted-ear marmoset), 104 nucleotides long. The record is from Ensembl. Lineage: Eukaryota; Metazoa; Chordata; Mammalia; Primates; Cebidae.